AAGAAGCGAAGCAGUGAUGUGAAGCAAAACUCAAAAAAGUAAGUCUCAGUUCGGAUUGAAGGCUGAAAUUCGCCUUCAUGAAGCCGGAAUUGCUAGUAAUGGCAGGUCAGCAUACUGCCGUGAAUACGUUCCCGGGCCUUGUACACACCGCCCGUCACACCAUGAGAGUUGGGAAUACCCGAAGCCUGUGAGCUAACUUUAAGAGGCAGCAGUCGAAGGUAGAAUCAAUGAUUGGGGUGAAGUCGUAACAAGGUAAC
Molecule: ribosomal RNA, 257 nt
Filed under: uncultured bacterium
Lineage: Bacteria
Description: partial 16S ribosomal RNA
Rfam family: Bacterial small subunit ribosomal RNA
Source: RNAcentral